Molecule: ribosomal RNA, 460 nt
Filed under: Schistosoma mansoni
Lineage: Eukaryota; Metazoa; Platyhelminthes; Trematoda; Strigeidida; Schistosomatidae
Description: partial 16S ribosomal RNA
Rfam family: Bacterial large subunit ribosomal RNA (bases 102-389)
Source: RNAcentral
AUAGUCUUUUAAUUGUAGACUUGUGAAUGGUUUAAUGAGGUGUGAUUAAGGUGAUAGUCUAUUAUCUGAAUUUAGUUUAGUGGUUAGGAACCCACUAUUACAUUAUUAGACGGAAAGACCCCAAGAGCUUUUUUUGUGUUAGAUUUGUUUGGGGUAAAUGUAGAUUGUUCAUUUAUUUUUAGAUCCUUCAUGGAUAAAAGGAUAAAGUUACCUUGGGGAUAACUGAGUAAAGGACAGGGAGAGGUCCUAUUGAUCUGUUUAUUACUACCUCGAUGUUGGCUUGUUGAACCUUUUCGGUGUAGAGGCUGGAAAAGGAAGUCUGUUCGACUUUUAAAUCUUCAUGAGUUGAGUUAAGACCGGUGUAAGCCAGGUUGGUUCUUAUCUAUAAUUGGUUCUAAUUAGUACGAAAGGAUUAUUAGGAUACAGUGUUUCUGUACGUAUAGGAAUAGGAAGUAUACAU